This is a small nucleolar RNA of Mus pahari (shrew mouse), 133 nucleotides long. RefSeq annotates it as small nucleolar RNA SNORA70. The record is from RefSeq and is a predicted model, not a curated record. NCBI's taxonomy places the organism in Eukaryota, Metazoa, Chordata, Mammalia, Rodentia, Muridae. The transcript has a single exon.
AGGAAUUUAGACAUAUAUACUAGUCCUUUCCCCACGGAGACAUGGUGUGCAAUGGUUGCAGAUGGUAGCCUCCUUGGUAGUGUAUGGAGCCUGUUGCCUAUAUGGGUUGCCCUGAAGGACCCUGGAGACAAUU